Molecule: ribosomal RNA, 493 nt
Filed under: uncultured bacterium
Lineage: Bacteria
Description: partial 16S ribosomal RNA
Rfam family: Bacterial small subunit ribosomal RNA
Source: RNAcentral
AUUGAACGCUGGCGGCAUGCCUUACACAUGCAAGUCGAACGGUAACAGGUUAAGCUGACGAGUGGCGAACGGGUGAGUAAUGUAUCGGAACGUGCCCAGUUGUGGGGGAUAACUGCUCGAAAGAGCAGCUAAUACCGCAUACGACCUGAGGGUGAAAGCGGGGGAUCGCAAGACCUCGCGCAAUUGGAGCGGCCGAUAUCAGAUUAGGUAGUUGGGGGGGUAAAGGCUCACCAAGCCGACGAUCUGUAGCUGGUCUGAGAGGACGACCAGCCACACUGGGACUGAGACACGGCCCAGACUCCUACGGGAGGCAGCAGUGGGGAAUUUUGGACAAUGGGCGCAAGCCUGAUCCAGCCAUGCCGCGUGCGGGAAGAAGGCCUUCGGGUUGUAAACCGCUUUUGUCAGGGAAGAAACGCUCUGGGUUAAUACCCUGGGGUAAUGACGGUACCUGAAGAAUAAGCACCGGCUAACUACGUGCCAGCCGCCGCCGUAA